RNAcentral lists this ribosomal RNA (634 nucleotides) under Lobocriconema thornei. RNAcentral's name for it is "SSU rRNA". It matches the Rfam family "Eukaryotic small subunit ribosomal RNA", at positions 1003 to 1664 of the family's 1831-position model. The record is from RNAcentral. Lineage: Eukaryota; Metazoa; Nematoda; Chromadorea; Rhabditida; Criconematidae.
GGCGAUCAGAUACCGCCCUAGUUCUGACCGUAAACGAUGCCAACUAGCGAUCCGCCGGUGGCUAUCUGGCCCUGGUGGGGAGCUUCCCGGAAACGAAAGUCUUCCGGUUCCGGGGGAAGUAUGGUUGCAAAGCUGAAACUUAAAGGAAUUGACGGAAGGGCACCACCAGGAGUGGAGCCUGCGGCUUAAUUUGACUCAACACGGGAAAACUCACCCGGCCCGGACACCGUGAGGAUUGACAGAUUGAUAGCUUUUUCAUGAUUCGGUGGUUGGUGGUGCAUGGCCGUUCUUAGUUCGUGGAUCGAUUUGUCUGGUUUAUUCCGAUAACGAGCGAGACUCCAGCCUACUAAAUAGUGCGGGCAUUGCUUCUGUGCCUCGCACUUCUUAGAGGGAUUGGCUGCGUCUAGCGGCACGAAACGGAGCAAUAACAGGUCUGUGAUGCCCUUAGAUGUCCGGGGCUGCACGCGCGCUACACUGGCAAAGGCAGCGUGCUUGUCCAUCUCCGAAAGGAGCUGGUAAACCCUUGAAAAUUUGCCGUGAUUGGGAUCGGAAAUUGCAAUUAUUUUCCGUGAACGAGGAAUUCCUAGUAAGUGCGAGUCAUCAGCUCGCGUUGAUUACGUCCCUGCCCUUUGUA